This is a long non-coding RNA of Tigriopus californicus, 495 nucleotides long. RefSeq lists it as uncharacterized. The transcript is spliced from 3 exons. Lineage: Eukaryota; Metazoa; Arthropoda; Copepoda; Harpacticoida; Harpacticidae. The record is from RefSeq and is a predicted model, not a curated record.
UUAAGUAGCAACUGAGAUCACGUUCUCAGACAAUUACACAAGCAGCCGGAUGUCACAAUCUCUUUUCAAAGCACUACACUUGUCAAGACAUUCAUGAACCCUAGGUUGUUUGAGCCGGUCUCAAAACCUAUGCCAUAACAUCCAGGCUCUUUGUUAUGUCGCUCUAAUAUGCAACAGUAUACCUCCUUGAUUACCACUUAGAUUAAUGAUGUGUUAUAUCAAUCGCAAAGGAUUAUGGGACACUCAAACGUCUGCCACCUGCCAAAAGUUUCCAUGAAAGAGAUCAGGGAGGUGAAUCGAACCGAGGACCUCUCUCACAAUAUGUAACUACGCUAACCAAUAUGCCACGUUUCCUGCCAUCAAUGAAAGUUGUAGCAAAUUAUUUCCAAUGGUUAUUUUCGCAAAGUUGAAGCUUCAGGAUCUAACUCAAAUUGGAUUGACGCUUAAACUUUGAAAGUGAAUCAAGUUUGCCAAAAUACAUACCCCAGUCUUGGU